GUAUAAAAUGUGAUCGAGUGGUAAGGACACUUGCUUCUCAACCUGGAGUCCCGGGUUCGAUCCCCGGUCGAGGAACU
Non-coding RNA from Rhamnusium bicolor, 77 nucleotides. The record is from the annotation of a GenBank genome assembly. Lineage: Eukaryota; Metazoa; Arthropoda; Insecta; Coleoptera; Cerambycidae.